AGGUAGAGUAGGAGAUCUUUGAAAAACGGUUCCUGUGAGCUAUAUUUUUGAAAAUACACAGCCCGCCUCUCCCUUCAGCCCUCCCCUCAAAGCCACGCCUUCAAAACACAUGAACGCGCAUGCAGUCUGUCAAGUGUUCGGAUUAUCCCGGGAACCCACGAGAGCUCACGAGGCGGGGCUAGAACUAGAAGCCACGUCAAAUCGAUUAGCCAAGCUAACUUCCAGCCAUGGCACUGUCUCCGGCUACGACCUUCCACGACCACGACGAGAGCUCCAGCUUUCCUGGCCCAUCACAAUCAUAACGACCUAACAGCCCAGUAGGACCGAUGGCCAGAGAUGGAGGAGGAGGAAGAUAGACGCAGCAGAGGUCGGGGAUAUUGAUUAGGAAGACUCCAACAGAAUUGACGCCCUGCUAACUGCCUUGAUUCAAUCAUUGAAUUUGAAGCAAUCCCAUCGGUUACUGCAGCGUGCCCUGAUCCGUGACCCCAGUUUGAUGUUCGACCUGGCACAUGACAUCUGGUCCUCAGCCACAGCCCAGUAGCACAACCAACCUGGCGCCUCUGCGCAAUCUGUAAGGAGAUGCCCAUGAACAUUGAAAGGAAAUGCUGUGGUGUUCUCAGUUUUGAUGGAAGACUUUGGGCUGAUGUAGGACUAGGUGAGAGAAACGGACUCUUCAGGCAUGCAGCCUACAGACAGUAUGGGGCACUUGAACAGGGUUGACGUUGUAAUACACAGUACAAUACCCAGGAUUAGCCAGGG
Engraulis encrasicolus (European anchovy) is the source of this 759-nucleotide long non-coding RNA. RefSeq lists it as uncharacterized. The transcript has 3 exons. The record is from RefSeq and is a predicted model, not a curated record. Lineage: Eukaryota; Metazoa; Chordata; Actinopteri; Clupeiformes; Engraulidae.